RNAcentral lists this ribosomal RNA (460 nucleotides) under uncultured bacterium. Its description in RNAcentral is "partial 16S ribosomal RNA". It matches the Rfam family "Bacterial small subunit ribosomal RNA", at positions 338 to 795 of the family's 1533-position model. The record is from RNAcentral.
CCUACGGGUGGCAGCAGUGAGGAAUAUUGGUCAAUGGACGAGAGUCUGAACCAGCCAAGUAGCGUGAAGGAUGACUGCCCUAUGGGUUGUAAACUUCUUUUAUAUGGGAAUAAAACGUUCCACGUGUGGGAUUUUGUAUGUAUCAUAUGAAUAAGGAUCGGCUAACUCCGUGCCAGCAGCCGCGGUAAUACGGAGGAUCCGAGCGUUAUCCGGAUUUAUUGGGUUUAAAGGGAGCGUAGGUGGAUUGUUAAGUCAGUUGUGAAAGUUUGCGGCUCAACCGUAAAAUUGCAGUUGAAACUGGCAGUCUUGAGUACAGUAGAGGUGGGCGGAAUUCAUGGUGUAGCGGUGAAAUGCUUAGAUAUCACGAAGAACUCCGAUUGCGAAGGCAGUUCACUGGACUGCAACUGACACUGAGGCUCGAAAGUGUGGGUAUCAAACAGGAUUAGAUACCCUAGUAGUC